GUUUAGGAAGGGUCCACUCGUGUGUCUUUGCUGCAUGUGGGAUAUCAUUUUGGUUAGAGACUAAAAAAUUCAGGUAUACAGGUAAACUCUCUAGGAGACAAAAAAUUGGGAUGAUAGCAUCACGCUUCACUAUGGUCUCUAUAGAGUCAGAUCAAGGAUUAGAGGAAUUAAUAAGAGAAUAUUUUCCAGGGAUUGAUGUGGAUUCUGGCAUCAAUUAUUUAAGUCUGGGAAUGGGGAGACUUGGCCAGACAGCGGUUCCUGGGAAGUAGAUCUGGGGCUUCUAGCUGGCCACAAGCUCAAUUUGAGCCAGAUGUAUACAGCUGCCAAGGACACCAUCUUAGCUUGCAUUUACAGAGCCAGUGUAUGCAUCGUGGAUUCAAGGAAGGUAAAGCAAGAAAACCAUUUUAAAUGAGCUCGACAGGCACGUCCGGAGCAGGAAGAGCGCCCCUCUUCAACCCCUCUUCUGUCUCACGCCUGCUCUGACACUGACCUCCCGCCUCCCCCUUUCACUGACAAGGACCCCAUGAUUACCCUGGACCUGCCUGGAUCAUCAAAGGAUUUUUCUUGGCGAGUGUAAGACUCCUAUGAGUAAAGAGUAGAGGCUCGGUUGAUCUUGGUAUCCAAACCUGGCUCCGGCAUUUAAGUCACUGUGUGAUGGUGGGCUGGUGAAUGCAGCUGUCCAAGGCUACCUCUUCGUCUCUAGAGUUUGUUCAUAGUUUUCUGGUAAGGUUUCUGUGAUGCCAUGAUCAUAACUAGAAGCGCUUUCCACAGCACCAUACAAAUAUUACUUACCAUUCAUAGAUAAUUCGCCCAACGAGCAUAAUCAGCAGGUCAACCCAGAGACUGUGGCCUCUCUUGUAAAUAAAAGCUUGAGAUUGGAUGCCAAUUUUCAGCCGGAAAGAGUCUCACAUUGGGUCUCGGGGCUGUAGAGGAGCCUGACUUCACCGUUCCAACUGCCUCAGAGCCAAGAUGGACACUUGCUGACUGGGAGCAGCUAUGGUUCUACCUCGGAGUCAUGGGCAUUACCUUCUUGAGUUCCUAAGUCAUUGUCAAGAUCUGCUUUCUACGCUGGAGGCAAAUCCAAAAUGGCAGCGAAGGCUGGGUCUCAGGGCUUCGCGGUGCUACUGUAGAUCCGUCGCUAGUCAGAUGGGCUUAGGACUCCUUUGAGACUCCAUUUCUCAUCUGGCAAAUGGGGCACAUUGGAUGAGUUCAGGCAAUCGACAAUCUAUUCUGUUACUUUUAAAAAAUGGGCUAAGUAGACAGGGUAAUUCCUUACCAAUGUAUCUUAGGACUUUUUGUAUUUUCUUUUAGAUUUUAUUUAUUUAUUUGACAGAGAGUGAGAGAGAGAGAGAGAGAGAGAGAACACAAGCAGGGGGAACAGCAGGCAGAGGGAGAGGAAGAAGUAGGCUCCCAGAAGAGCAGGAAGCCUGACUCGGGGCUUGAUCCCAAGACCCCGAGAUCAUGACCUAAGCUGAAAGCAGAUGCUUAAUGGCUGAGCCACCCAGGUGCCCCUUUCUGUAUUUUCUUAAGUGGUUUCUGUUUUGGGGAAUAGAAUGGUGGUUAUCAGGGGCUGGCGGGAGGCAGCAGUGACAGGACAGGAGAGAUGCUCUCUGAGGAUACAAACCUGCAACUACUAGAGAAAUGAAUCCUGGAGGUCUAUUGCACAGCGCAGUGAUUACAGACAACAACACUGUUAUAAACACCAAACUUCCUAGGAGGCUAGGUCUUCAUUAUUCCCACCACAAAGGAGCCAUGGUAAUUUUGGGGGGUAAUGGAGGUGUUAGCUAACGCUACAAUGGCAAUCAUGCAUGCAAUGUAUACAUUUAUCAAGUCAAAAUGUUGCACACUGUAAAGUUAUACAAGGUUCUAUGGCAGAUACAUUUCCAUUUUAAAAAAGGUUUGUGUUUUUUAAAAGAUUUUAUUUAUUUAUUUGAGAGAGAUCGAGAGCACGACCAGGGGCAGGGGCAGAGGGACAAGAAGACUCCCCAGUGAGCAGGAAGCCCGACACCACACGGGGCUCGAUCUCAGGACCCUGAGGUUAUGAGCCGAAGUCAGAUGCUUAACCGACUGAUCCUCCCUGGCGCCCUCCAAAAACAGUUUCUGAUUCGAAGGUAUCUGGACGCCAGAAAAAAAUACGAACAAAACUUUCAUAAUAUUUGUAUUUUAAGAAUUAAAAGUUUAAGCCUAAGAGUUAAAACAGGUGAAAAUGAAGUUUCCCUUCCUCUCUUGGUCACGGUCUCCUUGUUCCCAUCUUCAGAGGAGACCACGGUUACUGGUUCCUAGUCUGUUCUUCCAGAGAUGUUCUAGGCCAAUGGUUCCAAACCAGCAGACGAUGUUGACUCUGGGGGGCAAUUUUGACUCUGGGGGCGUUUGGCGGAAUCUGGAGACAUUUCUGUUUGUCACAGCUGAGGGAGGGGUGCCCCUGGCCUCUGGUGGGUAGAAGCCAGAGAUCUUACAACAGCGCAGGACUGCUCCCCGUAGCAGAGAAUUGUCUGGCCGCAAACACCACCAGUGCUGAGAUUCAGGAUUCUUGCUGUAUGUGUAUUAGCAAAUACAAGCGACACACACAGACACCUGCACACACAUGCCCUUGCCAUGUACAAACUGUGGAUAAGACCAUACACUUGACUUUGUCUUGUCUUUGUCUCUUUGCUCUGGAGAAGUACCUGCACAUACAGAUCCUUACAAACUACAGAAUAUCCUGCUGGAUAGAUGGGUCAUUCAUUUCCUCAGUCCCCUAUUGAGACACAUUUUCAUUGUUUCCAGCUUCCGCAAAUGAACAAUAUUGCUAUAGUAAUGUAGAGACUUACUGAAUCGUUUUCUUAUAUGCCUGGAACUAAUAUAACACUGUAUGUUAAUUAUGCUUCAAUAAAAAAUUGCUGUGAUUAUUCCUUUUUUCAAAAAAAAGAUUUUAUUUAUUUAUUUGAGAGAGAGAGAGAGAUGGAGCAGGGGGCAGGGGAAUGGGCAGAGUCAGAGGGAGAAGUCUCACCACUGAGCAAGGAGCCCAAUGACUUGGGGCUCAAUCCCAGAACCCUGAGAUCAUAACCCAAGUUGACAGCAGACGCUGAACAGACUGAGCCACCCAGGUGUCCCUCUGAUUAUUCUUGUUCACAAAUGCUCAUAUACUCAUGUAUACUUGUCUGAUAAUUCCUCCAACUGAUA
Molecule: long non-coding RNA, 3162 nt
Organism: Mustela lutreola (European mink)
Lineage: Eukaryota; Metazoa; Chordata; Mammalia; Carnivora; Mustelidae
Exons: 3
Source: RefSeq, a predicted model, not a curated record